AAUGAACGCUGGCGGCGUGCCUAACACAUGCAAGUCGGAUGUGCCGCAAGGUGCAUGGCAGACGGGUGAGUAACGCGUGGGGAAUCUACCUUUUAGUGGGGAAUAACGCUCCGAAAGGAGUGGUAAUACCGCAUGAGACCUUUGGCUGGGAUGCUGGAGGUGAAACCUGGGGACCGCAAGGCCUGGGGCUAGAAGAGGAUCCUGCGUCUGAUUAGCUAGUUGGCGGGGUAAUGGCCCACCAAGGCGACGAUCAGUAGCCGGCCUGAGAGGGUGAUCGGCCACACUGGAACUGAGACACGGUCCAGACUCCUACGGGAGGCAGCAGUGGGGAAUUUUGCGCAAUGGACGAAAGUCUGACGCAGCAACGCCGCGUGGGUGAUGAAGGUCUUCGGACUGUAAAACCCUGUCGUCAGGGACGAAGGUGGCAGAGUUAAUAGCUCUGUU
Molecule: ribosomal RNA, 444 nt
Filed under: uncultured Geothrix sp.
Lineage: Bacteria; Pseudomonadati; Acidobacteriota; Holophagae; Holophagales; Holophagaceae
Description: bacterial SSU rRNA
Rfam family: Bacterial small subunit ribosomal RNA
Source: RNAcentral